GGGUGCAUGGUGGCUUAGUGGUUAGCAUGUUCGCCUUGGACCUCCAAGGUUGAGGGUUUGAUUCCCACUGCUGCCC
This is a non-coding RNA of Ameiurus melas (black bullhead), 76 nucleotides long. The record is from the annotation of a GenBank genome assembly. Lineage: Eukaryota; Metazoa; Chordata; Actinopteri; Siluriformes; Ictaluridae.